RNA transcript from Diceros bicornis minor, 6229 nucleotides. It is a transcript of the gene named ligand dependent nuclear receptor corepressor like, with no coding region annotated. The transcript has 10 exons. The record is from RefSeq and is a predicted model, not a curated record. NCBI's taxonomy places the organism in Eukaryota, Metazoa, Chordata, Mammalia, Perissodactyla, Rhinocerotidae.
CGCGCCCCUGCCUCGUGCCUGCGCCGCUCGUAUGUAAAUGAGGGCGCGUGACGCGGGACGCAGAUGGACAAGGGAAGAGAGAGAAUGGCCGCUGCCGCCGCUGCUGCCGCCGCCGCCGCCGCCGCUCAGUGCCGGAGCCCUCGGUGCGCGGCGGAGAGGAGAGGAUUCCGGCGGGAACUCGACUCUUGGCGCCACCGUCUCAUGCACUGUGUAGGUUUUGAGAGUAUUUUAGAAGGGCUUUAUGGACCACGGCUACGAAGAGACCUCAGUUUAUUUGAAGACUGUGAACCAGAAGAGCUGACUGACUGGUCUAUGGAUGAAAAAUGUUCAUUUUGUAACCUACAGAGAGAAGCAGUCAGUGAUUGUAUACCAUCUCUUGAUUCUUCACAGUCAACACCAACGGAGGAACUAUCAUCUCAGGGCCAGUCCAACACUGAAAAGAUUGAAUGCCAAGCAGAAAAUUACCUAAAUGCACUCUUUCGAAAGAAAGAUCUUCCUCAGAACUGUGAUCCUAACAUUCCCCUAGUUGCUCAGGAAUUAAUGAAAAAGAUGAUACGUCAGUUUGCAAUUGAGUAUAUUUCAAAAAGUGGUAAAAUUCAAGAGAAUAGAAAUGGUUCAAUUGGACCAAGUCUAAUAUGUAAAAGUAUCCAAAUGAAUCAAGCAGAAAACUCCCUUCAGGAAGAGCAGGAAGGCCCCUUAGACCUCACUGUGAAUCGAAUGCAAGAACAAAAUACUCAGCAAGGGGAUGGAGUGUUAGAUCUCUCUACAAAGAAAACCAGCAUAAAAUCUGAAGAGUCAUCCGUAUGUGAUCCUUCUUCUGAAAAUUCCGUGGCUGGUUCAACUGUUGAUGCAAAAUCAGAGGAAGCUACUAAAAUGGAAAAAGGAAAAUCAGCAUUAAGCAAAGUUUUGGAAUCUUUGUGCAUACAUCACCAGCAACAAGUUUUGGCUAUGUUGAAAUUUCUAAUCCAAGAGCAGAAUGCUGCUUCUCUUUGCUGUUGUAAUACGUCAUAUACUAUGUCUUCAGAAUCUCAAAAGCCCCUAAUUGAAGAUGAUUUGCAUGGUCUUUUUUGUAGUUGUGAAUAUAGGCUGGCAGAAAGAGGGUGUUUACAAAAUGAAAGACAAAGCCCUGGUUUUGUGCCUCUGCCAGUCUGUAUUAAAGAUUUACAUUGUUUGUCUUGCCAAACUGUAGCUAUUGAACACUUUAAGACAGUAGUGAAUGGAGGAAUUGCAAACAGUUAUCAUUCUCACAGGUGCUGUUCUGGACUCUUACCAAACGUUCACUCUACAAAAUCAGGCUUUCACACUCCUCUUCCGUCAAGGGAAGUAUGUGACGUUUCAGUUGGUCUUAAAGAUGUUUGUAGAUCUCGAAGUCCCUCACCUCCGCCAUUAUCACCUGUACAGACUGAAGGAUUUGAAAAAUUGAAAGAUGUCAUCUCAGAGCUUUCAGCCUUAGAAAAUAACAGACUUGAAGCAAACAUUAACCAGCCUCCAUCUCUCACACCAGCAGAAAUAAGCAGUGACAGGGGUGAUCACGAAGGUAAAAUACAUAAAACUAAAAAAUUCAGGAACUCUGAUUCUUUUCUCUUGGAAGACAGCAAUAAUUGUACUACAAAUCAUGAAAAAGGUGAAACUACUGUAAUUUUUCAAGAUUUAAUGGAUCGUAUUAAUGAAAAAUUAAAAUCAAUAGAAACCACAGAUACAGCAAACCUUAUUAAAUUAUCUAGCAGUGAUUGUAAUACAGAUAAUGAUUUAAAAUUGAGAGAUUUAAUAACCUCUCUCUUGCAUAAUGCAAAGGCCAGUGAUUACAGUUUUAUGGAAUUACUGAGUCAACAUGAUAAAAAGGUAGAAAAUAAAAUUAUUCAGACAAGAUUUCGAAAGCGUCAAGAAACCUUAUUUGCAAUGCACAACUCUCCUGAUUCACCCAUGUUUAGAAGGCAAUCUUUACAGAUAAAAAGAGAACUUGCUAGUCUUGAUGAAAAUUUUAUAAGGAAAAAAUACACUGAAAAAAAUUCUAGGAAAUUGAUGUGCAACGAUGAGAUAUUUUCAACGGACAAAGAAGAAUUCUGUCAUUACCAAUCACCUUCUUUACAAAAUUCUAAAAGCCUUCAAGAAAAUACUCAUGCAGAAACAUCGUUUUCACCAGAUUAUGCAUUACAGUCAUUGCAACUACCUCUUCAUAGUUUAGAAGCUAACUUGGCUUUUGAUCUGUUUUCAGAAAGGUUUAAAACAACUUCCCGUGAGAAAAUGAGCAUAAGAAAAUCACAGGAGAAAUCUGCAGCUGGAAAAAAAUUUUUGCAAAAUCGUAGGGAGAAUCCAAAAUUAGAGAAUACUCAAACUCCUUUGAAAAGUGAUGUUCCUGGACUUUUGAACAGAACUAAACGAAAUAUUGUGCCUCCAGGGUGGUAUUCUAUUUAUGUAACAAAUAACUGUGUUUUCAAAAAGUCCCCUAAGGCCAAAAAAGUUUCUGAAUCUACAAAAAAAAAAGAUCCAGUGAAAAAUAUGCAAAUCGAAAGCCCACACGAUAUAGAUCUAAACAAAAUUGCAAUGAGUUCUAAUUUACAAGUUGUUGUGGAGCGUUUGGAAGAUACAAUAAAUAUGGCCAAAACAUCUUGGAAUAAUCAGUCAUUAUCAGAAGGAUAUAAAGCACCCAAGAAAUUGAUAGAAAUUGAUGGUAAAGAUCAAAAUCCUGGUAGAAAUGUGACUCUUACUGUAAGUAGAAUGACAUGCAAAGAGCAGAGUUUAUCAAAAUCUGUGGUAGCAUCCAGCAACAUCAAAAGCAAUCAUAUGCCUGCAAUAGAUUUGAAUAACAAAAGACUUGAUAAUCUGAAAAAGUCAUCUAUUUUAGAUACGGGUAGCUUGAUUUCCAGGGUUGAAAAUGUACCAACAAAGUAUGAAGCCAUUGAAAGCUCUUCUUUUUCCAACUAUUCUAGUCCUAUCAAACUCAUGUUUUUAUCUGAGGUUAAAAGCAGUGAAGGAGUCAAAUAUACUUUAACUUCAGUCAGUACUUCCAAAUCAAAUACUGAUCUUCCUUCUAAGAAACGUCCAACUCAUCAUGUAAUUGAAAAAAAACCAGAAACAAAUGAGGAUAUCCCAAAUGCAAACUUUGAAAAUUAUAGUUCUGAUCUUAAUGAUUGUGACACUCUUCAAGGAGAACUAAAAUUUAGUAGUGCAAAAGAAACUGCAGAAUCCUCUGCAAUGUUUAUAGAUGAUGUGAAUAGUGAUAAGCCACAAGAAGAACCUAAGGAAAAUUCAAGCAGUGCUAUUGAUUCAUCUUUUAAAAGAAAACCAGGUAGGCCUAAAAAAAUAGGUCCCCAGGUUGUGAAACAGAUUAAGCGACCAAUUGGAAGACCACCAAAACCUAAAACUGAUCAGACAGACAUCACCAUUUGCCAAAAUGAGUCCUUUAGUGCUAGAAAGAAAAGCCCAGAAUCUCUCAUAUCAGAAGUAAAAGAGGGUAUUUAUAAAAAGAGUAUUACAGUAACUGUUAUUUAUGGAAGGUCAAGAAGAACUAAAAGGCAUGUUUCUGAAGGAAGUGUAAACAUAAGCAAUGUUAUGUCUUUAAACAAUAAUGUUGCUGAUUUUCCAACUGAAUAUAGUAGUCUCAGAAAUAUUAGAGAAUACAAAAUUGACUCAGAUGAAAGAAUAAGUGCUGUUUCCAGUUUGACUACUGAAAGUGAGAUCUUGGGGUCUGGCUUUGAAUAUGUCAGACCUAUCAAGAACAAGUCUGUGAUACCUCAAUCUUCCAAGAACAUUAUUCGACCAAAUCAGAAGCCUUUAGCAAUAAUUAGGAAGCCUGGUAGACCUGCAAAAGUGAAAAUCUCUGGCAUAUCUGUGACUAUUAAUAGAGUUUCACCUCAGGAGAGAAAAGUAAGUAUUAGCAGCUGCUUACCUCCUUUAGAACAAGAGAAUAUAUUAGAGAAAACUCUGCCUGAAGAAAAGUAUGAUCACCAAUGCGAUAAGAUGGAUACAAGGCACACGGAAGCUGACAUAUUUAAGAAUGGGUCAAAAAGUAUGGUUGCUACUAUACCUUUGAGACAUUCUAUUAGGAAUAGAAAACCAUCUCUGCAUUUCUUACGUUCAUUAGCAUCAUCUAGCUCAAUAAUUUAUAGAAAUGCUCUACUCCAUAAAUCGUAUAAACUGCACUUGCAGAAAGGUAAAAGUCAGAAGGAAAAACAUAGGCAGUCAAGGAUAAAAAUAGCUUCAAAAUGUACCCCAGGAGCUAGAAAUUCAAGGAGUGCAAAAAAGUGUUACGAAGAUAACAAAUUACUACCCAUUUCUGAAGUAUCCUUGGACCCUAUCAUUUCAUCAAACCGUUUGCUCAGAUGGUGGGCUGCUUCUACUUCCAAUGAUUCCUUGUUAGAGGAAUUAAACAAUAGAUUUGAGCAAAUAACAAAUGCUUGGGUGCAGGUCAAUGGAGAUGAAGCUGAAAAUUGUGUUCAUAAAAAAAGAGGACACAUUGAAAAUGAUAAUUUCAAAGUAGCAAACCCGUUGGAAACCUGUCUUUUAGAACUUGAAGUUUCACCUGUAAAAAUGCUUUUUCGGAAAAAGUAUGAUUUGAAUGAACUCUGUACCUGGUUUAUGCAAACAACAGAAACACAGUCUCUCUCACUAGUUAGAAAAGCAAAUGCUCGAAACCCUUUGGAAGUAAUAAAUACCAGAGGAAUUAAAUUAAGGACCAAGUAUUCUGAUUUUAAUACCAGCCCCUUCAGAAAGCACUUUAAAAAAUUUGCACUAUCUUCUCCUUCAAAAUCAGCAGGAAAGUUGCAUAUACUGCAUAAAAUGGUUAGUUCUCCACUCUUAAAUGUGAAAAGUAAUUUAACACUAGCUAGAUUAAAAAGAACUGAGUUUAAGAGGUUGCAACAUGAAAGGUGGAGAAGAGAGGGAAAGCUGCACAACCAAGGAACAAUUGAUUGGAUCUCUAAAAGGAGGAACUUAAGAUUCUUCUGCCAGAACCGAUUUUUAAAUAAGACUGAGGGGGGAUCAAAUGCUGAUGUCCCACUCCAAGGAAAAAACACAGUAGAUAAUCAGUUUAUUUUGCCACCUGAGAUCAGGGGUGACUUUUUGCAACAAAGGGUGGCAAUGUCUGACUUCAGAACACAUGCUAGUUUAGAGAAUAAAUUUAAGUCAGAAGCAAAGGAGAAUGGAACAAAUUGCAGUCAAAAAGAUUUUGAAAAGGGACCAAGACUAGGAAAUGUAUGUCAAAAUAAUUGGAGGUCAAAAACCUUAAAAGAUUGUAGAAUAUUUUUGAGGAAGAUCAACUAUCUUGAACACAGAAAUACCUUUAAGCUAAAUACAAUCAUUUACUCUCCUGAAUCUAGUGACAGUGGAAAUAAUCGUCAAACUCAUAUAGAAGAAUCAAAGCGUUUUACCUUAAGAUCCCAUUCUGCUAGGCAAAAUUCUUUUAAAAAGCAAUCUAAAGAAAUAGAAAAUGCUAAAACAAAUAGUCCUUCAACCAAUAAAUUUCCUGGCCAACUUGACAAUAGUAAAUUAAAUAAAUGUGUUAACUAUGACAAGAAUCCUUCUGAUAAUUCUGAAGUUCUUAGCAAAUUGAACAAAAGAAAAAGACCAGCAUGGAAGACCACAGAAAUGUCAACAAAAAGACAUAAACGACAGUCUUGCAACAGUGGACAAAUGGCAAACUAUUAUUCAAAAUCCCAACUAGCCUCCAGACCUGCUUUGUCUAUCUGAGGUAAGAGGGUAAGACUUGACUGUGUGUCUCGAGUCAAGACAGAAAGGAGGAGCAUGAUGUCAGGUAUGAUAAAGAUUGAGGAGUAAGUGAAGGAUAGACGAUGCAGGUUCACAUAAGCCAUGUUUAUGUACUUUCAAUGGCUUCCCAUUGAAAAUCUCUUAGAGUAGAGAUUUAAAUUGGGAGUGUAUAGGGAAGGUACAUGACAUCAUCAGAUUCUCCUUUCUAAAAGAUCUUUGUGACUGCAUUGUGGAAAAGAGUGAACACAUAGACCAUUAUGGGAGUCUGAAUGAAAACUGUGCUAUUUGAAAACAGUGGUUUACAAACGUCGGUGUGCAUCAGAAUCACCAGGAGGGCUUGUUAAAAAAGAUGGUUGGGCUCCACAACCAACCAGUCUCUGUUUCGGUAGGUGCAGUGGGGCCCAAGCGGUGCUUAUGUUGCUGGUCCGGGACCACACUUGGAGAACCAUUGCUACAAAAUCAUACUACAAAUGAAAACUGAUGAGAAACUGAAUUUGUCUGAUGGGAAUACAGCAAGUUGCCC